ACUGAUGGUGAACAUCGACCCACGACGACCAUGACGACGCUUUAUGAGUUAGACACUGCCUCUCUCUCAACUCUAAUUUCAAUAUGCUUCUACUUUAUUGCCUAUCAAACCUAAACGUCUUUCCAAAUAUUUGUGAGCCCUAUGAUAUUGGUGGGACAUGGACUACGAUUUGAAGGAGAUGUGUAGGCUAUUGAACGGAGUUGUGGCCAAUUGAUUCACAUUAACAUUGAGCAUUUUGGUACCAAUGAUUUGCUCCACUAUCACUCAAAAGUAUGUUCUUAUUCAACUUUAGUUAAAUUGUCUUCUAUUCAUAAGGUUUCUUUUGUUAUGAUUUUAUGAUUGAGAGAAAUCAACCUCAAAUAUGUACUGUAAUUGAAUGUCAUUGGAUUCCAUGGCGAUUGCAUAUUAACUUGUUUAAAAUUUAUUCUCCAAAUGUGAUUCGUUCACUUUGUUUC
Molecule: long non-coding RNA, 455 nt
Organism: Cucumis sativus (cucumber)
Lineage: Eukaryota; Viridiplantae; Streptophyta; Magnoliopsida; Cucurbitales; Cucurbitaceae
Exons: 2
Source: RefSeq, a predicted model, not a curated record